Molecule: ribosomal RNA, 253 nt
Filed under: uncultured bacterium
Lineage: Bacteria
Description: partial 16S ribosomal RNA
Rfam family: Bacterial small subunit ribosomal RNA
Source: RNAcentral
GACGAACCGUGCGAACGUUGUUCGGAAUCACUGGGCUUAAAGGGCGCGUAGGCGGAUGACCAAGUCAGGGGUGAAAUCCUCCGGCUUAACCGGAGAACUGCCUGUGAUACUGGUCGUCUGGAGUGAGGUAGGGGCAUGCGGAACUUCCGGUGGAGCGGUGAAAUGCGUAGAUAUCGGAAGGAACACCGGUGGCGAAGGCGGCGUGCUGGACCUCAACUGACGCUGAGGCGCGAAAGCCAGGGGAGCAAACGGG